AUUUAUAUAGUUUAAUAAAAACUUUACUUUUUCAUUGUAAAAAUAAAAAAAUUUUUUUUUAUAAAUA
This 67-nucleotide transfer RNA is filed under the name Drepanepteryx phalaenoides. RNAcentral describes it as "tRNA-Glu". Lineage: Eukaryota; Metazoa; Arthropoda; Insecta; Neuroptera; Hemerobiidae. The record is from RNAcentral.